This 401-nucleotide ribosomal RNA is filed under the name uncultured bacterium. RNAcentral's name for it is "bacterial SSU rRNA". It matches the Rfam family "Bacterial small subunit ribosomal RNA", at positions 358 to 773 of the family's 1533-position model. The record is from RNAcentral.
GGAAUAUUGGACAAUGGGCGAAAGCCUGAUCCAGCAAUGCCGCGUGAGUGAUGAAGGCCUUCGGGUCGUAAAGCUCUGUCGCAGGGGAAUAACACAAUGAAUGUACCCUGCAAGAAAGGAUCGGCUAACUUCGUGCCAGCAGCCGCGGUAAGACGAGGGCUCCUAGCGUUGUUCGGAAUUAUUGGGCGUAAAGCGGGUGUAGGUGGCUUUGUAAGUCAGGUGUGAAAGCCCAGGGCUCAACCCUGGAAGUGCAUUUGAUACUGCGAAGCUUGAGUGUAGGAGAGGUUACUAGAAUUCUUGGUGUAGUGGUGAAAUACGUAGAUAUCAAGAGGAAUACCGGCGGCGAAGGCGGGUAACUGGCCUAACACUGACACUCAGACCCGAAAGCGUGGGGAUCAAAC